RNAcentral lists this ribosomal RNA (504 nucleotides) under uncultured bacterium. Its description in RNAcentral is "bacterial SSU rRNA". It matches the Rfam family "Bacterial small subunit ribosomal RNA", at positions 28 to 525 of the family's 1533-position model. The record is from RNAcentral.
GAUGAACGCUAGCGGCAGGCCUAAUACAUGCAAGUCGAACGGUAAGUAGAGUAGCAAUACUUUGCCUAGAGUGACGUACGGGUGCGGUAACACGUAUGCAACCUACCUAUAACAGGAGGAUAGCUCGGGGAAACUCGAAUUAACCCUCCAUAAUAUAAUUGAAUGGCAUCAUUUGAUUAUUAAAACUCCGGUGGUUAUAGAUGGGCAUGCGUCUGAUUAGUUAGUUGGCGGGGUAAAGGCCCACCAAGACGAUGAUCAGUAGGGGAACUGAGAGGUUGAUCCCCCACACUGGCACUGAGAUACGGGCCAGACUCCUACGGGAGGCAGCAGUAGGGAAUAUUGGUCAAUGGAUGCAAGUCUGAACCAGCCAUGCCGCGUGCAGGAAGAAGGCCUUUCGUGGGUUGUAAACUGCUUUUGUCAGGGGAUAAAAAAGCCAUGCGUGGCAAAUUGAAGGUACCUGAUGAAUAAGCCACGGCUAACUACGUGCCAGCAGCCGCGGUAAUC